Molecule: unclassified non-coding RNA, 329 nt
Filed under: soil metagenome
Description: partial contains 5.8S ribosomal RNA, internal transcribed spacer 2, and large subunit ribosomal RNA
Rfam family: 5.8S ribosomal RNA (bases 1-120)
Source: RNAcentral
GAUGAAGAACGUAGCGAAAUGCGAUAAGUAAUGUGAAUUGCAGAAUUCAGUGAAUCAUCGAAUCUUUGAACGCACAUUGCGCCCCUUGGUAUUCCGAGGGGCAUGCCUGUUCGAGCGUCAUUAUGACCCCUCAAGCUCAGCUUGGUGUUGGGGCCUGCUGCACUGGCAGCCCUUAAAAUCAGUGGCGGCGCCAUCUGGCUCUAAGCGUAGUAAUUCUUCUCGCUAUGGAGUCCUGGUGGAUGCUUGCCAUCAACCCCCAAUUUUUCUAUGGUUGACCUCGGAUCAGGUAGGGAUACCCGCUGAACUUAAGCAUAUCAAUAAGCGGAGGA